ACAAAUCGGCGUCAGUCCACUAUUGGUACCAAAAGCAAAAGGCAAAAACCCUCCAUCCUCUCUCCAACUUCUCCCCAAUUCUGGCGACGUCUCUUACUAUUCCAAAUCACGGGAAUCCACGACCCCAGUGCACUCGUCACCUCCAACCAUCUCGACACCUCAGGCCAUCUGGUAACAUACACCGUUGAGUAUCGACAAAUUCAUCGCCGUCUCCUGCCUCCAGCCACCGCGAACUCGUCGGCUGACUAUCUUCAGAUCUCCAAUAUCAAUUCCACCAAAUUUCAAAAGAUUAGCUUGACAAAUGCUAGGAAAGAAUUCUGGAGUAUGUCACAGCUGCAGGAGUAAGAUCCACUUCUUUGCCGAAUGCUCGAUAAAAAUCCGAUGCCCAACAUGUAAGCAAGUUUUUCAAAAGUGCUUUGAGGUAGAAAGGGCUACAGCCAACAAAGGUAAAUUCUUCAAAGGGCUUCACAAUUGGUUCUAAUCGAAUCAGUUAACGAUAUGCCCCGCAUAUUUUAGUCGCAAGUUCGGCUUAACCAUGAACAAGAAACCCACAUUUCUAUGAACGUAACGAUCCGUACUGGAAAAUCAAGCACCGAAUGGAGCACCAAAGGCAAGGGGUGGCUUGAGUAGCGGUGGAUUUUUGCUUAGCUAUCUCAAAUUUGGUAUUUAUGUACAAGGAAAAAUGAAUGUCAGUUUGGAGUUUUUCUCAUUUGAACAGCAUUAUCAUUACUUAAUGCUAAACUAUGUGUUGAUGUUAUUCACGUGCUUAACAAUGCAUGCUAAAUCAGUUUCUUUGAAUUUCA
Long non-coding RNA from Olea europaea var. sylvestris, 803 nucleotides. RefSeq lists it as uncharacterized. The record is from RefSeq and is a predicted model, not a curated record. The transcript is spliced from 2 exons. NCBI's taxonomy places the organism in Eukaryota, Viridiplantae, Streptophyta, Magnoliopsida, Lamiales, Oleaceae.